Long non-coding RNA from Xenia sp. Carnegie-2017, 582 nucleotides. RefSeq lists it as uncharacterized. The record is from RefSeq and is a predicted model, not a curated record. NCBI's taxonomy places the organism in Eukaryota, Metazoa, Cnidaria, Anthozoa, Malacalcyonacea, Xeniidae. The transcript is spliced from 2 exons.
UUAAAUUUAAAGGUCCAACACUAUGUGCAGGAGAUCAUGAGAACUAUGACUUAUUAAGCAACCAGGAUGUCUUCAUACAUCAAACUACUUCUAUUGCCAGGUAUACUUUAAAAAUACUCACUGAAACUUGAGUGAAAUACGCAUGGCAAAGCUUUUAUCAAUAAUUGAAAAGACCAAAAUGGAUUUCAGUUCAUGGUACGAAAUUCAAAGCUGGAUGUGUUUUGUGGGUUAGUCAUGACAAAGAAGAAAUGCCAUGUUUUGUGAUAUUGAAAGAGAUUUUGGUGGUAGAAAGGAAUUUGGAAAGAGCAUGGUUCAUUACUCAGAAACUUGGAACUGUCAAAUUUCAUGAGCAUUUCAGUGCAUAUGAAAUGGUUGACACAACUGAGCUACAGAUAAUUAAACAGCAAGAGCUACUAUACCCAUUGCCACUGCAUUUGAUUAAUAUUUCAGUUCAUGGGCAAAACAAAAUAUUUGUGUGUCCAAAAUAUCAAAUACCUGUUAUUUAAGGAACAAAACUUUGCAUUUUUACGUUGAAUUAAAAGGCGAGCAUAAUAUGAAUUAAAACAUAAUCAGAAGCAUAAA